Molossus molossus (Pallas's mastiff bat) is the source of this 104-nucleotide small nuclear RNA. Lineage: Eukaryota; Metazoa; Chordata; Mammalia; Chiroptera; Molossidae. The record is from RefSeq and is a predicted model, not a curated record.
CUGCUCACUUCCACAGCACAUAUACUAAAAUUGGAAGGAUGCAGAGAUUAGCAUGGUCCCUGCUCAAGGAUGACACGCAAAUUUGUGAAACAUUCCAUACUUAA